Molecule: long non-coding RNA, 1508 nt
Filed under: Homo sapiens (human)
Lineage: Eukaryota; Metazoa; Chordata; Mammalia; Primates; Hominidae
Description: non-protein coding lnc-MBL2-7:1
Source: RNAcentral
ACUUUCUCCCUUCUGAGCCCAUAAAAAGAACAGACUGAGUCAGACUCAGACAGAUGUGAGGACCACCAGAUGCGGGAAAGAACUACCCACUUCAGGUCUCUUUGACUCACCAGGACUACCAGCAGCAGGAGGGAGCUACCCAUGUCGGGUCUCCUUGACUCAUCAGGACAACCUGCCUAUGGAAAGGAGCUAUCCACUGUCAGUCUCCUCUGCUGAGAGCUGGACACUCGGGAUGACAUGCCUGCGGUACCCACUUUGGGUCUCCUGAGAGCUGUCGCUCAAUGAAGCUUCUCUCCACCUUACUCACUCUCCAGUUGUCUGUGUACGUCAUUCUUCCUGGAUGCAGGACAAGAACAUGGGACCUGCUGAAUGGCGUGACUGAAAAGGCUGUAACACAAACAGGGCUGAAACUUUGCCCUCAACCCCCUGGCCCAACACACUGUGGGCAAUGAGAAGGAGAGAAGAGCUGCUGCCCUUCAAGGGACCUCAGACCUAGGGGCUCCCCAAGACAGGGCUGUGACAUCCUCUUUGUGGCUCUGUCGUUCCUGGCAUCUCCAAGCUUCUGGGUGCCACUGCAUUCCCCUCAUCCAGACGUGGAUGCCCACAGUGGAAGCCUCGUGUAGUACAUCUGGUUCAGCUGCAGCCUCUGUCAGCAGCUGUGCGGGUGCCUGGAACUGCCCACCCUGUUGCAGCUGGCACACCUGGCUUUGCACAGUGGCUGGACCCUGAGCUUGUGCACACACCCCUCACUGUUCUGUGCCUGGCUUGCCAUUGGGAGGCAUGGGAUCUGGGCCAGCAGCACAAGCCAACCACAGCCUGCCAGGCCGAGUGGGCGGAACAAGCCCAAUGGGCGCAAGCAAUACUCAUGCAGAAGAUGCCACGGGUCACAAAGGUUUUGGGCUGGCAGAGCAAUACUCCAAGGAUCUCAUGACAAUAUUUUGGGGUCUCUCGGUCGCCGGCAAUAAAGGACUCCUGAAGUAGUCUCGGAGUGUGGUGUUUCUCUAUAACUCUCUCGGUUAUGACACUUUGGAGGCCCCAGCGAGAUCCGCCACCGGGUGAGGGCCGGACUCGUUCCGGGCUCCCCCGGAGCAACGGCGGGCUUACAGGGUAGGCGCCACCUAAAGAUGCUCCAGGGCCCCGUAGGCCACCGUCUUCCAGAGGGGAACGGAUCAACUGCUGGUGUGCCCAACCAAAUUCAACUCCUGAGUCCUCAGUCUCCGGUCCCGGGAAGGUAUCAAGGGAGCCACUCGAAAACCCAUGAAUCUGUCGAAGACAACUGAAGUGGUCCAGGGGCCCGAUGAGUCACCAGGAGCGUUUCUAGAAUGCCUCCAAGAGGCCUAUUGGACUUAUACCCCUUUUGACCUGGCAGCUCCCGAGAAUAGCCGUGCUAUUAAUUUGGCAUUUGUGGCUCAGGCAGCCCCUGAUAGAAGAAAGUUACAAAAGCUGUAGGGAUUUGCUGGAAUGAACACCAGCCAACUUUUAGAGAUAGCCCAGAAAGUUUUUGACAA